AACGAACGCUGGCGGCAUGCCUAACACAUGCAAGUCGAACGAGACCUUCGGGUCUAGUGGCGCACGGGUGCGUAACGCGUGGGAACCUGCCCUUAGGUUCGGAAUAACUCCCCGAAAGGGGUGCUAAUACCGGAUAAUGUCUUCGGACCAAAGAUUUAUCGCCUUUGGAUGGGCCCGCGUUGGAUUAGCUAGUUGGUAGGGUAAAAGCCUACCAAGGCGACGAGCCAUAGCUGGUCUGAGAGGAUGAUCAGCCACACUGGGACUGAGACACGGCCCAGACUCCUACGGGAGGCAGCAGUGGGGAAUAUUGGACAAGGGGCGAAAGCCUGAUCCAGCAAUGCCGCGUGAGUGAUGAAGGCCUUAGGGUUGUAAAGCCCUCUUAACCGGGAUGAUAAUGACAGUACCGGGAGAAUAAGCUCCGGCUAACUCCGUG
Molecule: ribosomal RNA, 433 nt
Filed under: uncultured bacterium
Lineage: Bacteria
Description: partial 16S ribosomal RNA
Rfam family: Bacterial small subunit ribosomal RNA
Source: RNAcentral